This 1606-nucleotide ribosomal RNA is filed under the name bacterium enrichment culture clone SeE3. Its description in RNAcentral is "bacterial SSU rRNA". The stretch from base 754 to 1606 matches the Rfam family "Bacterial small subunit ribosomal RNA", at positions 1 to 853 of the family's 1533-position model. The record is from RNAcentral.
AGCUUGCUCUGGAUUCAGCGGCGGACGGGUGAGUAAUGCCUAGGAUCUGCCUGGUAGUGGGGGACAACGUUUCGAAAGGAACGCUAAUACCGCAUACGUCCUGACGGAGAAAGCAGGGGACCUUCGGGCCUCGCGCUAUCAGAUGAGCCUAGAUCGGAUUAGCUAGUAGGUGAGGUAAUGGCUCACCUAGGCGACGAUCCGUAGCUGGUCUGAGAGGAUGAUCAGUCACACUGGAACUGAGACACGGUCCAGACUCCUACGGGAGGCAGCAGUGGGGAAUAUUGCACAAUGGGCGCAAGCCUGAUCCAGCCAUGCCGCGUGUGUGAAGAAGGUCUUCGGAUUGUAAAGCACUUUAAGUUGGGAGGAAGGGCAGUAAAUUAAUACUCUGCUGUUUUGACGUUACCCGCAGAAUAAGCACCGGCUAACUCUGUGCCAGCAGCCGCGGUAAUACAGAGGGUGCAAGCGUUAAUCGGAAUUACUGGGCGUAAAGCGCGCGCAGGYGGUCUGUUAAGUCAGAUGUGAAAUCCCCCGGGCUCAACCUGGGAACUGCAUUCAAAACUGGCAAGCUAGAGUAUUGUAGAGGGGGGUGGAAUUUCAGGUGUAGCGGUGAAAUGCGUAGAGAUACGAAGGAACACCAGUGGCGAAGGCGACCACCUGGACAAAUACUGACGCUCAGGUGCGAAAGCGUGGGGAGCAAACAGGAUUAGAUACCCUGGUAGUCCACGCCGUAAACGAUGUCAACUUGGCGGUUGUACCCUUGAGCUCUUACUUCCGCAGCUAACGCAUUUUUAGGCCUAACACAUGCAAGUCGGACGGUAGCACAGAGAGCUUGCUCUUGGGUGACGAGUGGCGGACGGGUGAGUAAUGUCUGGGGAUCUGCCCGAUAGAGGGGGAUAACCACUGGAAACGGUGGCUAAUACCGCAUAACGUCGCAAGACCAAAGAGGGGGACCUUCGGGCCUCUCACUAUCGGAUGAACCCAGAUGGGAUUAGCUAGUAGGCGGGGUAAGUCCCGCAACGAGAGACCGUAACUGGUCUGAGAGGAUGAUCGGUCAGACUGGAACUGAGACACGGUCCAGACUCCUACGGGAGGCAGCAGUGGGGAAUAUUGGACAAUGGGCGAAAGCCUGAUCCAGCCAUGCCGCGUGUGUGAAGAAGGUCUUCGGAUUGUAAAGCACUUUAAGUUGGGAGGAAGGGCAGUAAAUUAAUACUUUGCUGUUUUGACGUUACCGACAGAAUAAGCACCGGCUAACUCUGUGCCAGCAGCCGCGGUAAUACAGAGGGUGCGUAGCGUUAAUCGGAAUUACUGGGCGUAAAGCGCGCGUAGGUGGUUUGUUAAGUUGGAUGUGAAAUCCCCGGGCUCAACCUGGGAACUGCUUUCAAAACUGACAGAGCUAGAUUAUGGUAGAGGGUGGUGGAAUUUCCUGUGUAGCGGUGAAAUGCGUAGAUAUAGGAAGGAACACCAGUGGCGAAGGCGACCACCUGGACUGAUACUGACACUGAGGUGCGAAAGCGUGGGGAGCAAACAGGAUUAUAUACCCUGCUAGUCCACGCCGUAAACGAUGACAACUAGCCGUUGGUAGCCUUGAGCUCUUACUGCCGCAGCU